This 253-nucleotide ribosomal RNA is filed under the name uncultured bacterium. RNAcentral describes it as "partial 16S ribosomal RNA". It matches the Rfam family "Bacterial small subunit ribosomal RNA", at positions 524 to 776 of the family's 1533-position model. The record is from RNAcentral.
UACGGGGGGGGCAAGCGUUGUUCGGAAUUACUGGGCGUAAAGCGCGUAUAGGCGGCUAAGUGUGUCGGGCGUGAAAUCCCACGGCUCAACCGUGGAAGUGCACCCGAAACUACGUAGCUAGAGUCCUGGAGAGGAAGGUGGAAUGCUUGGUGUAGAGGUGAAAUUCGUAGAUAUCAAGCGGAACACCGGUGGCGAAGGCGGCCUUCUGGACAGUGACUGACGCUGAGACGCGAAAGCGUGGGGAGCAAACAGG